RNAcentral lists this ribosomal RNA (403 nucleotides) under uncultured bacterium. RNAcentral's name for it is "bacterial SSU rRNA". It matches the Rfam family "Bacterial small subunit ribosomal RNA", at positions 355 to 774 of the family's 1533-position model. The record is from RNAcentral.
UGGGGAAUCUUGCACAAUGGGGGCAACCCUGAUGCAGCGACGCCGCGUGAGCAAUGAAGCCCUUCGGGGCGUAAAGCUCUUUCGACCGGAACGAUAAUGACGGUACCGGGAGAAGAAGCUGCGGCUAACUACGUGCCAGCAGCCGCGGUAAUACGUAGGCAGCAAGCGUUGUUCGGAGUUACUGGGCGUAAAGGGUGCGUAGGCGGUUUUCUAAGUUCGGUGUGAAAUCUCCCCGGCUUAACUGGGAGGGUGCGCCGAAGACUGGGAAGCGGGAGUGUGGGAAAGGCAGGCGGAAUUCCUGGUGUAGCGGUGAAAUGCGUAGAUAUCAGGAGGAACACCGGCGGUGUAGACGGCUUGCUAGACCAUAACUGACGCUGAGGCACGAAAGCGUGGGUAGCAAACA